Molecule: long non-coding RNA, 529 nt
Filed under: Parus major (Great Tit)
Lineage: Eukaryota; Metazoa; Chordata; Aves; Passeriformes; Paridae
Description: lncRNA (ENSPMJG00000016560.1)
Source: RNAcentral
CUGGGCUCCUGGGAAGGAAGGGGUAUUUCUGUGCCACACUUUGAAGAAGGAUGAUCUUCCAACCUCUCAGUGCCCAGCUUGAGCUCAUUCUUCCAUCAAAGAGAAGAGAAAAAUGAAUGUUUUGGAGGUGGAGGAAGAUGGAGGAAACAGAAAAGGGAAAAGCUGCAGUAAUAUCUGGGAUCUUUUUGGAGUUUGGUGGUUUUUUUUUGCUCACAUACAGGCACUGCACCCAUGGCCAGAACCUAAUCCUGGAUGCCUCCAACUCCUGCCAAGAGCCUGGUCUGCUCCAGCCUUAAAAGGUGGUGAAAGGACACCGCCAGCCAGUGACAGAUCCUCAGCUGACAACAGCUCUGUUCAAACCAAAGGAAUUCUUUGCAGUAGGAUCCAAAGGACAGCACAUUCAUUUGCUAAACUCCUAAUUUUUUUUUCUGUUGUGGAAUGUAACUUCAAGACUUGGCUGACUUUUAAACAUGAUAUAAUUAACCAUGCCUGAAAAUGAAUUUAUAAAAAAAAAAAAAAAAAAGAUACA